UUUCCUUCGGGGGAUGAGUAAAGCGGCAAACGGGUGAGUAACACGUGUGUAACCUGCCGUCGAGUGGGGGACAACACCGGGAAACUGGUGCUAAUACCGCAUAAUGUUAUCGUGACGCAUGGCGUGAUAACCAAAGGGGGGCUCUUCUAUCCUCCCGCUUGAUGAGGGGCACGCGCUUGAUUAGCUAGAUGGUGGGGUAACGGCCUACCAUGGCGAUGAUCAAUAGCCGGUCUGAGAGGAUGGCUGGCCACACUGGGAUUGAGAUACGGCCCAGACUCCUACGGGAGGCAGCAGUCUAGAAGCUUCGACAAUGGACGAAAGUCUGAUCGAGCGACGCCGCGUGCAGGACGAAGGUCUUCGGAUCGUAAACUGCUUUCGACAGGGAAGAACGGUAUGUAAGCUAAUACCUUAUAUAUUUGACGGUACCUGGUGAAGAAGCCCUGGCUAACUCCGUGCCAGCAGCCGCGGUAAU
RNAcentral lists this ribosomal RNA (472 nucleotides) under uncultured bacterium. RNAcentral's name for it is "bacterial SSU rRNA". It matches the Rfam family "Bacterial small subunit ribosomal RNA", at positions 73 to 524 of the family's 1533-position model. The record is from RNAcentral.